Callorhinus ursinus (northern fur seal) is the source of this 3404-nucleotide long non-coding RNA. RefSeq lists it as uncharacterized. The record is from RefSeq and is a predicted model, not a curated record. Lineage: Eukaryota; Metazoa; Chordata; Mammalia; Carnivora; Otariidae.
AUCCGUGGGCACAGCAGGCCCCGCCGUUGCCCUCGGAGAGGUCACCUGCCCACCGCGGCGCUCAGGCGAGAAGGUCGGCGUCGCCAGCGCCACGCCUCUAAGCGCCGCUCUGUGGCCGGGAGGCGAGGAUAACCCGACGCUCCACCGGGAGCUGCUCCAAACCCAAGGGCCCGGCUCACCCGGGGAGGGUGGGCAGAGGGCCUGCGGGUCGGGGGGAGAGGCGGCCCGAGGGCAGAAGAAAAGCCGAAGCUGUCGCCCCAUUCAGACCUUCUAAAGGGUUUCUGCUGGAAACUGCGCCCUGUGGAGAAGAGGGGACCCGCACGCCAUCUAGGAACAAAAGAUGAGGCAAUGCGGGAGCAAGGUCAUCUCUUCGGCAGGAACCAGGUGGGUGUACUAAAUGGAUACUUUCUGUUUAAAACGAAUGUGCCAAAUGCCACAAAGCCACCGUCUAAUCAGCAGAUUAGAAAGAUCUUGUCUGAGAAAUACUGUGAUGCAACCCACAUCGCUACCCAGCUCACCCUGUGUUUUAGAGUGAGUUCCUCACCAUGAACUUGGGAAUAAACUGACACUUGGCUGUCCCCGAGGUUGUGUGGCGCAUGCUGAGAUACACAACUUGCAAACUAAAAUCUGCCAGUGUACAAGUCAAAACAGGGAUUCUGCACUACCCCAGCCUGAUUGACCCUUGAUGAUUCCAUCAUUCUGCACAUGACUCCAUGGGCUGAAGAAAAGGUGAUGAAGAACAUUGAUGAUGUAUUGGAAAUUAGUGACCAUUCGUGUAAUUAAAAAAAAAAAAAGACAAUCAAGAGGUUGGGAAUGGACUCUGUGGUUAAAGAAACUUUGGGUACUGGAAAUACCGUGGAGAUUAAGUCUCUCUUUAUCUUCCAUUUAUUAUUCAGAGAUGACAUCUCCUUUUCUUCUUCACCUACUUAAGGUGUAUGGGGCAAGAAGGGGAGGUUCUCUUUGAAGGCUACAAGUUUAACUUGCUCAUUCAGUUUCUCCUUACCGUCAGCAAGAAGAAAAAUUAUAUAUGCAUAUACAUUACUUACAAAUAAAUUCAAGAAGGUGAUUCUCCUUUCUUCUCCACACCAUCUCCAAAGUCUCACUCAGCUUUUCAAAGACAAGUUAAAGUAACAGACAUUUCAGUUUGAAAAUUUAUUUCUGGAAUUUUUCCUGGCCCCAGGGAUCAUUUAAGAGCAAGCUGUGCACUCUGAGGAAAGCCGGCCCCUGAAAGAGUUGCUACUGCACAUAUUUUCCCAGAAGGAAAGAGGACAAACUGCGGGCACAUUUAAGCAGGAAACUCAUUGCAGAAGAAAACUAGAGGCAGCGAGAAGUGCAGUCCCUUCUCCUUUAUUGCUUCUCUAAUUUUUCCAAACCAAAACUCAACUGCUCUAGCUCACGUCUUUAGGGAAUAGUUUUAUGAUUAAAACAAGUCAGCAAAAAAGUAUCGCGCGUUUACUUUCUCGCGAUCCUCUAUCUGGCGAAGAAAGAGAGGGAAAACAAAGACAGCUGCGAAGCGAACUUGGUUCUCACCCUCCAAAUGGCUAGUUGUUUCUUUCUUAAAAGUAGAUUUGAAUUAACCUUUUUGUCCCAAUAAUCCGAGCCCUCUCACCACCUCUCCUUUCCCCAAAAGGCACCCACUCUAAAUUAAGUCUAUGAACUUUUCUGCUGCCAUUCUUCUUUGCUUAAAAGAGUUCUGGGAAGCAGUAUGUGGUAAGAAAUUUGUUAAUGAACCGAGAUGAAAAUGAUAAAUAUUGUUUUUCAUAUAUUUUCUGAAGAUGUAUUUUUCUCAAAGUGUGUGGAAAGAUGUUUAGAUUUUUUUUAGCCUUUUUUGUCAGCUGCCUUCAAGUGUAGUUUUAAAUUGUAAGUCUCUUGGGGGUUAAUUUUUUUUUUUUUUACAAUUCUUUCCUAAUUAUUAAAACAAUAGGGUUCCUAAUUGGCAAUUUUUAAAUGCAGAUAAAUGACAAGAGAAAUCAUGCAUCAUGCCACUGCUCAAAGAUAGUCCCUACUCACUUAAAAAAAGAAUUUGAGGUGAAAUUUAGAUAACAUAAAAUUAACCCUUUUAAAGUGAAUGAUUCAGUGGCAUUUAGUACAUUCCCAAUGUUGUACAACAACCACGUCUAUCUCGUUCCAAAACAUUUCCAUCCCUCCAAAGUAAAACCUCUCACCCAUUAAGUAGUUUCUCCCCAUCCCCCCACCCCUUUGCCCCUAGACGAAGUGAAGCUGGAAUCUCCGGUAGUGUCCAUGCUGACCCAUUCCAGCUCAGGGAAGCUCCUUGCUCCAGGAGGUAAGAGGUUCUAAGGCAGCCUCCGCCUUUUUCUCGGUGACCAUGGCCCUCAACUGAAGGGGCCGUGCAGGACCAGGGCAGGCUCUGGUAGUUUUCAGGUCUUCCUGAUAAAACCUCCUUAAAUCUGUUCAGACCAAGCAACAAUAGUGUCCCAUCCUGUCCCGUGUGGGAAGAAGAUCUGAAAGAGUGGUUGAGGCUGGUGGCAGGAUGCAACCUUGCACAUCUCCCGCUCUUGGAGAAGAGAGAGAGGCUGGGACUCCAGUCAGAGCCCUCAUUCAGUAGGAAAGUCUGUGGACCUGGAGCUGAUGGCACCUUCAACUGGGGUCCUCCAGCUGGUGCCCGAGGCAGGGUCAGCUUGAUGCCAAGUUAAGGAGGUAAGAGGCACAAAACAUGACAAGGGCUUGUCCCUUUGAAUUAUGAAUGGAAAAGAAGUGGGCAACUUCGAAUUGUCAUAAUUAAUCAGAAAUGCAUGAAAUUAGACUAUGCUUAUAUUUAACUCUUGCUUCAGAUGUACCAUCAAAAAAAGGUGUUAUCGGUGCUAAGUUUAGCUGCUUUCAUAAAGUUUUCUUUUUAUUAAAAAGAAUUCCAAAUAUGUUACCAAAUUUUCCCUUAGAAAGUUUUGCCAAAUCACACUUCCAUUCAAUCUUUAUCAGUUUGGGGGAUAGACAAUUGUAUUUCUUUGCUUUAAUUUUCACUUCCUUGAUUCUCGGGGAUAUUGAUACUUUUUCAUGAGCUUAUUGAUCAUUUAUAAUUUUCAGUCAGGAACAGUUAUUUGUAAAUACACUUCAAUAUGACUGAUUUUCCAAAUCAGAUUUACAGAUUGCCAUAAAUCAAUAGGAACACAAGUGAGAACAUCAUCAUCAUCAUCGUCAUUAUUAUUAUUUUAUCAGUGGAUUAUCUCCCAUAAUAUCCUUACUUAUACACAAUAAAGCUUAUUAAUAUCAAAGCCCCUUCAUUUUAAUUUUGUGGAUAACUGAUAAAUCAGAAUAUUUGAGAAGAGAGAAUAGCUUGGUUUGUCUUUCACUAUAUGACUCCAUAUCUAAAUAGUAUGAGUUCAACAACUAAAGAUGAAAAAAUAGGGGCACCUCAGUGGCUCAGUUAGUUAAGCGUCUGCCUUUGC